Uranotaenia lowii is the source of this 703-nucleotide long non-coding RNA. RefSeq lists it as uncharacterized. NCBI's taxonomy places the organism in Eukaryota, Metazoa, Arthropoda, Insecta, Diptera, Culicidae. The record is from RefSeq and is a predicted model, not a curated record. The transcript has 3 exons.
AGAAUCAAAACAACCCAAAAUUGACUUUGCCAAGGCAGCAAAAUCAAGUUCAGCUUGCUUUCUUAAUUUUGGGGUGUUGUCAAUGCACCAAAACCAAAGUUCGUUGCUGGAACUGACCACCCCAAAAAAAUUUCCCUUCAGUUUUACUUAUAGUUUUGUUUUGUUCCCAAAAAAGUCGGUCACUUUCGAAAGAAUGGUCUGGAUUAUUGGAAGGAAUCGUUUGUUCACCAUACGUCUCUUCUUCGGAAGACGUGUCCAGCCCAUCUAUUUCAUUCGGGUUUGGAACAAUCUAACCUAAAUAUCGAAUAAAACUGGCUGACCGGAAGUCCGGAACGUGGAAGAAGGUAUUCGGAAAAUCGGAACGUUCUCUUACUGUAACCGGGAGCAUCAGUAAGCAUGUAUCGAUAUGCUGGGACCAUCCAAAAUAGACUGCAGUGCAGUGACUGAAUUAAUCGCCGGAAGAUUUUUGGAAACGAUUUAACAGUUCCGGUUACUACGAAGGUCUAUGAGGUUUCAGAUGACUGGCCGGAUUCGUCGUUCAGGGCAAUCCAACAUUUUCGAUCAGUUCUCUUCGUUGGCUUCUUACUCUUUUUAUCCAGACCGGCAAUCAUGAAUAAUAGUGCCUUCCGAUGGCUAAAAAUUCGGUUUCUAUUAAGUUAAGUUCUCGAUUUGGAAAAAAAGUAUUCCUGCCUUCAAUGGUCAC